This 206-nucleotide unclassified non-coding RNA is filed under the name Hevea brasiliensis (rubber tree). Lineage: Eukaryota; Viridiplantae; Streptophyta; Magnoliopsida; Malpighiales; Euphorbiaceae. The record is from RNAcentral.
ACUAGCUGUUGCAUACAUUCUAGCUGACGGUCUAUCGCCUUCUGGAUUUAGCCUCUGCCAUGCAUAAGGUUUCUGAGCAGUAUCCAGGGCCCAAGCAUCAGAAAGAACUCUUUUCCCAUCAUUGCCGCUGACAGUUACCAGAUAUCUUUGUGCAACCAAGUCCAGGACCGCGGUAUGGCCACGUAAUGGACUUGGUUGCACAAAGA